UUCGAAAAUUCAAUUUGAUUUCUCUUCCGUUGGAAGUCAAUCUCAAGGCAUUGAAUUUUAUGAAAAAAUUUCGAGAAAAUGAAAUUGGAAUCAGUUGUGGAGGAUUUUUUAUUCUUUCUACAAAAUUUCCAAUUCAGAUGUACCAAUCGCUGUAUAGUGUAUUUAAUAUAUUACUUCAGAUACGAGAUAUUUUUGAAGGAAUCGACAAAUCUUGUAAACCAAUCACAAAACCAUUAAUUAAUGCGACUAAAAGUCCCAACUCUUAGUUGAAUAUCGUAUAAUAUAGAAAAAGUUACACAAAUAGCAUUAUUAUCUUAUACAAAUUGUAUAAAUUUCAUGUAUUUUUGAAUAGUAGAUUAAUUAACUGAUUCAGCAAAGUGAGUCCUCUGCACAAGAAGCUUGUUAAUCUACCAUUACGUCAGAAUCUCUCGUAUCAGUAUAGAAUAGCAUUGAGAUCGCCACAUAAAUCGUAAUACGUGGUUUAUAAAUUUUGUAUU
This is a long non-coding RNA of Centruroides sculpturatus (bark scorpion), 497 nucleotides long. RefSeq lists it as uncharacterized. The record is from RefSeq and is a predicted model, not a curated record. NCBI's taxonomy places the organism in Eukaryota, Metazoa, Arthropoda, Arachnida, Scorpiones, Buthidae. The transcript is spliced from 3 exons.